AUUAAAUAUAUAGGGAUAAGUGAUUCUUUCUUGAGGGGAAGAAUUGAAAAGGGAAGUCAGUUAAGCUGACGCGGCGCCCGCCACUGUAAUAGGGAGUUAACUCACAUAAUGUCACUGGGAUAAAUCCGGGAAGACGUGAGUUGGUGAAGAUCUUGAGCCAGGAGACCUGCUUAUUUCUAAGUCUAAAC
RNAcentral lists this non-coding RNA (188 nucleotides) under Desulfosporosinus sp. The record is from RNAcentral. RNAcentral also lists the same sequence under 1 other name. Lineage: Bacteria; Bacillati; Bacillota; Clostridia; Eubacteriales; Desulfitobacteriaceae.